UCGCACAUACACCUUAACAGAGAAGAAAGAAGCAAGAAAGUUCCGAGAGAGAGAGAGAGAUGGAGAGCUUUCCUUGUGAAUCUGAAUCUUGGGUUUCCUCCAUAAUCUCGAUCCACCAUAGCCCAGAAGAUGAUACUUUGGAAAGCCACCAAAGCAAUACUGGGUUUUUCAACCAAGAUGAAGAGUGGUCAAAAUUGAAUAUCAAUAACAAGAAGACCAAGAAGAAGAAGAACCAGGUUUUGCUUGAAGGGUACGUGGAAUCUACCGAUGAGGACGACCUAACGAGGACCAAAAGCUUGACGGAUGAGGAUCUCGAUGAGCUUAAAGGGUGCUUGGAUCUUGGCUUUGGGUUCAGUUAUGAUGAGAUUCCUGAGCUCUGCAACACCUUGCCUGCGCUUGAGCUCUGCUAUUCCAUGAGCCAGAAGUUCAUGGACGAACACCAGAAGUCGCCAGAUAAUGCUGAGGCUGCAUCCACGGACUCUUGCCCGUCGGUGUCGAGCCCCAUUGCCAAUUGGAAGAUCUCUAGUCCCGGCGACCAUCCUGAAGAUGUCAAGGCAAGGCUUAAAUUCUGGGCGCAGGCUGUGGCAUGUACUGUUAGAUUAUGCAGCUAAAUAAAAUAAUGGAUCCAUCAGGAAAGGGAAAACGUUUUCUUUGCAAUUGGAAGUCAUUAACCUGGACUUUCCUGUGGAGCUUGUGCUCCACUCAUCCCUCCAGGUCGAGCUUUACUCAGGAAUGAUUGUUCCUGCUAUUUUUUGGCUGGAGUUGGACCUGCUAAAACCAAUUGACAUGAGCCGGCUGUAGUGAAGAGAAGAAAGAGGAAGAAGAAGAAUCAGUUGUUGGUUUUAUGCAGCGGUGAGAACCUUCAUUAGAUCUUCACCAGCCAUUUUGCAGACCUCUGCAUUUGCUGAGAUGAAUUCCCAUUCGGCUGAGGCUGCAAGGAGCAGCAACAAGUGGGGGGGAAGAGUGGAGAAAAGGAGUGCUAACUUGUACAUCUUCAUUGAAUCCGCCAUUUCUCCUAGUUCCCCCAAUUUCCUGUCACUUCAAUAGGAACGUGGUUCCUGAUGUUUUCAUCUAAGAACAAUUAUAUUGUUGUAUCAAUAACAGUGUUCUGACUCAGAUGUUGAAAAACAUCUUUAGAUAGCAAUGAAAUCCAAAGAACUGCUCCCGGUCUUGUUA
Carya illinoinensis is the source of this 1176-nucleotide RNA transcript. RefSeq lists it as uncharacterized. NCBI's taxonomy places the organism in Eukaryota, Viridiplantae, Streptophyta, Magnoliopsida, Fagales, Juglandaceae. The record is from RefSeq and is a predicted model, not a curated record. The transcript has 4 exons.